UGUCGACCGCACGGCACCGGUGAAAAGGGAAUCAGGUGAGAGGCCUGAGCGAGCCGGUCACUGUAUAUGAGGAGCGAUGCCGAAGAUACCCAUUGUACAUGCCUGUAUGAGAAGGGCGGCAAAGCGUGGAUCCAUGAGCCAGGAAACCUGCUUAA
This 155-nucleotide non-coding RNA is filed under the name uncultured Blautia sp. The record is from RNAcentral. Lineage: Bacteria; Bacillati; Bacillota; Clostridia; Lachnospirales; Lachnospiraceae.